ACUUAAGCAUAUCAAUAAGCGGAGGAAAAGAAACCAACCGGGAUUACCUCAGUAACGGCGAGUGAAGCCGUAACAGCUCAAAUUUGAAAUCUGGCUCUUCCGGAGUCCGAGUUGUAAUUUGUAGAAGAUGCUUUGGGAGGUAGGGCCGGCCUAAGUUCCUUGGAACAGGACAUCAGAGAGGGUGAGAAUCCCGUAUGUGGCCGUGGCCUACGCCCGUGUAAAGCUCUUUCGACGAGUCGAGUUGUUUGGGAAUGCAGCUCAAAAUGGGUGGUAAAUUUCAUCUAAAGCUAAAUAUUGGCCAGAGACCGAUAGCGCACAAGUAGAGUGAUCGAAAGAUGAAAAGCACUUUGGAAAGAGAGUUAAACAGUACGUGAAAUUGUUGAAAGGGAAGCGCUUGCAACCAGACUUGGGCGUCGUCGAUCAUCCGGGGUUCUCCUCGGUGCACUCGACGAGGCACAGGCCAGCAUCGGUUUGGAUGGUUGGAGAAAGGCCCUAGGAACGUAGCUCUCUUCGGGGAGUGUUAUAGCCUAGAGCGCAAUGCAGCCCAUCCGGACCGAGGACCGCGCCUUUGGCUAGGAUGCUGGCGUAAUGGUUGCAAGCGACCCGUCUUGAAACACGGA
RNAcentral lists this ribosomal RNA (620 nucleotides) under Golovinomyces asperifolii. RNAcentral describes it as "partial large subunit ribosomal RNA". It matches the Rfam family "Eukaryotic large subunit ribosomal RNA", at positions 32 to 665 of the family's 3401-position model. The record is from RNAcentral. Lineage: Eukaryota; Fungi; Ascomycota; Leotiomycetes; Helotiales; Erysiphaceae.